This 494-nucleotide ribosomal RNA is filed under the name uncultured bacterium. RNAcentral's name for it is "partial 16S ribosomal RNA". It matches the Rfam family "Bacterial small subunit ribosomal RNA", at positions 28 to 507 of the family's 1533-position model. The record is from RNAcentral.
GACGAACGCUGGCGGCGUGCUUAACACAUGCAAGUCGAACGGUGAAGCGCCUUCCUUUUUGGUGGGCGUGGAUGAGUGGCGAACGGGUGAGUAACACGAGAGUAACCUGCCCCCUCCUUCUGGAUAACCGCAUGAAAGUGUGGCUAAUACGGGAUAUUAUGUGCCUGUCGCAUGAUGGGUCUGGGGAAGAUUUUGUUUCGGUGGGGGAUGGGCUCGCGGCCUAUCAGCUUGGUGGUGGGGUGAUGGCCUACCACGGCGGUGAGGAGUUGCCGGCCUGAGAGGGUGGGCGGUCACACAGGGGAUGAACGGCGGCGCAUACUCCUGCGGGAAGCAGCGGUGAGGAAUGGAGCACAGUGGGCGCAAGGCUGAUGCAGCGACGCCGCGGUGGAGAAGGAGUCCUUCUGGUUGUGAACCUCUUUCGCGAGUGAAGCAGGCCUGCCUCGUGUGUGGGUGGGUUGACGGUAGCUGGAGAAGAAGCGCCGGCUAACUACGUG